UCACAAGACCAGACGUAAAGCAUCCAUCUUCUUGAUCAAAUAAAAUCCCCAAACCCCAAUUUUUCCAAAUUAUGUGAAUCUAAAACGGCUGCUACCAGUUCCCUGUGCUAGUUUAGACAAAGAAGCACCAACAGGCAACUGCCAGCUUCUAGAGCAGGUGAAGUUAAACAGUAAGUUCACCAAGAUUCUAUGGUCUAAGCAAGCAAAUUAGACCAGAGAUUUUGAGUUUUUGGCCAAAUUAGGCACAUAACUGCAGCC
Molecule: unclassified non-coding RNA, 258 nt
Filed under: Hevea brasiliensis (rubber tree)
Lineage: Eukaryota; Viridiplantae; Streptophyta; Magnoliopsida; Malpighiales; Euphorbiaceae
Source: RNAcentral